This 249-nucleotide ribosomal RNA is filed under the name uncultured bacterium. RNAcentral describes it as "partial 16S ribosomal RNA". It matches the Rfam family "Bacterial small subunit ribosomal RNA", at positions 62 to 339 of the family's 1533-position model. The record is from RNAcentral.
UCGAGCGAAGUCUUCGGACUUAGCGGCGGACGGGUGAGUAACGCGUGGGAACAUACCCUUUGGUUCGGAAUAACACGAGGAAACUUGUGCUAAUACAGGAUAAGCCCUUACGGGGAAAGUUUUAAUGCCAAAGGAUGAGCCCGCACUUGAUUAGCUAGUUGGUAAGGUAAAAGCUCACCAAGGCGAUAAUCAAUAGCUGAUUUGAGAGGAUGAUCAGCCACACUGGGACUGAGAUACGGCCCAGACUCC